UACUUAUCGAGAGAGGUGGAGGGACUGGCCCUUUGAAGCCCGGCAGCCGCUGACACAGUCAGAAUGGUGCCAAUUCCAGCAGAGUCAUGCACUCUGGCAGAUAAGCA
This 107-nucleotide non-coding RNA is filed under the name Bacillus sp. (in: firmicutes). RNAcentral describes it as "Bacillus sp. SAM-I sequence". It matches the Rfam family "SAM riboswitch aptamer (S box leader)". Rfam says of the family: The SAM riboswitch is found upstream of a number of genes which code for proteins involved in methionine or cysteine biosynthesis in Gram-positive bacteria. The SAM riboswitch acts at the level of transcription termination control. Lineage: Bacteria; Bacillati; Bacillota; Bacilli; Caryophanales; Bacillaceae. RNAcentral also lists the same sequence under 1 other name. The record is from RNAcentral.